This 373-nucleotide ribosomal RNA is filed under the name uncultured organism. RNAcentral's name for it is "partial 16S ribosomal RNA". It matches the Rfam family "Bacterial small subunit ribosomal RNA", at positions 527 to 896 of the family's 1533-position model. The record is from RNAcentral.
GUAGGUGGCAAGCGUUGUCCGGAAUUAUUGGGCGUAAAGCGCGCGCAGGCGGUCCUUUAAGUCUGAUGUGAAAGCCCACGGCUCAACCGUGGAGGGUCAUUGGAAACUGGGGGACUUGAGUACAGAAGAGGAAAGCGGAAUUCCAAGUGUAGCGGUGAAAUGCGUAGAGAUUUGGAGGAACACCAGUGGCGAAGGCGGCUUUCUGGUCUGUAACUGACGCUGAGGCGCGAAAGCGUGGGGAGCAAACAGGAUUAGAUACCCUGGUAGUCCACGCCGUAAACGAUGAGUGCUAAGUGUUAGGGGGUUUCCGCCCCCCUUAGUGCUGCAGCUAACGCAUUAAGCACUCCGCCUGGGGAGUACGGCCGCAAGGCUA